RNAcentral lists this long non-coding RNA (5798 nucleotides) under Marmota monax (woodchuck). The stretch from base 3722 to 3827 matches the Rfam family "mir-223 microRNA precursor family". Lineage: Eukaryota; Metazoa; Chordata; Mammalia; Rodentia; Sciuridae. The record is from RNAcentral.
UAAAGACCAGUUCCCUCUGGCCUCUACAGUUUGGCUCAGCACCAGGGAACCUGUGUCCUCUCUGAGACCAAGGCACCACACCAGUGACAGGUAUAGUAUCCAUUUGCUCCCUUCUUUAAAUUCCCAAGUUGAGGCAGUGUUCAUAGCAGCCAAAGGUAGCUUGGAUAUGCCCAUCCCAUUUUCCUUAUUCCCAUCAGGGAUUUGGGGUGAAGGGUAAAACAGAUAAAGUUUCUAUUGAUCUUCUAUCCUGAAGUUUCCAGUGGUCGAGAGAAGGGGGUGUAUUUUCUACAGAAGGAUAUUUAGGAGACAGUCAUAUGAAAGGCAAAAGUUCUCUGGAAAUCUGACAGUUCUGGUUUUUCAUUUACCCAAUAUUUAUCUUUGGGCAAGUCCUUUCUCCAGCCCAUGUUUCUUUUGCAAAAAGAGGAGGCUGAGAAAGGUUAAAUGGAUGCAUCUUAAGACUUAGUUUUUAUAUCCCUUUUUUUGAUAAUUGCCAUUCCUCAAUUGAUAAAAGAAAUGGGAGAGAUGCUUGAAUAUAUACUACCAGGCAGGGUUAACACAUCCAGGAGGAGAGCUGGUGGUGAUCCAUAUAGUACUCUCUGAGAGUUAUGACUCAAAGAUGAAGGUCUCUUUUUCCUUUAGUCUUAUAUUUGAUUACUAAAAUUUUGGAAUUAAACAGACCCAUAGAGAUUGGGUGUGUAUAGAAGAAAUUUAAAUCCAGAGAGAGGAAGGAAGGAAGGGACUUUCCCAAGGUCACACAAAGAAACUGUAGCAGAGCUGAGACUGGAUUCCCAAGCCAGGGCUCUUUCUGCUCUACCCUAGGAGAAAUGAGACACCAAGAAGCAGGAGUUGCCUUGUAACUUACCCAGGUGGGCCUCCUUAUACUGGAUGCAGUUUGGAUUUUUUUCCAUAAUUUUUAUUGGUGCAUUUUAGUUGUACAUAAAGUGGGAUUUGUUGUUACAUAUUUGGACAUGCACACAAUAUAACAAUAGAAUUUGGCCAUUGUCAUUUCCAGUAUUUCUCCUUUCCCUCCCGCCUUCCCCCUGCCCCCAUGCCUUUGCUCUACUAAUCUCCCUUCGAUUUUCAAAAGAUGUCCCCCAAAUUUAUUUUCAUUUUUUUCUUUCUAGAUUCCAUGUAUGAGAGAAAACACAGGACCUUUGACUUUCUGAACUUUGCUUAAUUCAUUUAGGCAGGGUCCUGCAGACUUCUUUUACUCCACUCCUUUUACAAAUUCUUGGUUCACUCUGGGAAUUCAGAAUUCCUCAGAGCCUACCUACACUUUCUCUUUCAGGCUCAUCUUUUCCAAUCCCCUUCACCAAAAUUGACCUCAAUAAUAGGGGCUUUGUGGAGCUCUCUAAUGGAAAAUUUUGCAUUUCAGUGGGGACAAAUGAUGACACUUAAGAUAGUAUAAAUGUACCAACAGAUGAACUUUCAGAGUCCCUCCGUAUCACCCCAUGUAGGUAUCCAUCUCUUCUUUCUAUGAGUCUGGCCAGUCUUUCUCAAGUGAACCUGCUUUUCUUACGAAAACUCAAUUGGAGAAGCAUGGACUAGAGCAGCAAGAGUAGAAAUGAAACCAGUCUAAUUCUAGCUCAGCCUCUUAAUUUCUUCCAUCAAUGCUGAGAUAAUAUUGUCCACAAACUGUUCAACUUCCUGUAUACCAGGAAUCAUUAGCCCCUUUCACACUUUUCUUCCAGGUUUCCUGAGGUGAAUGAAGUCAGAAGUGGCAUUCAGGAAGCUGUGAAUAUCUCCAGAUUAUCCAGGUGUUCUCACUGCAGCUGGAACAGAAUGGAAGUGAUGACAGAAGAAAGAUACCAGUCCAUUUCUCUCCCCCUGCCACCCCAACUCAAAUUCUGGUAAUUAGCUUCCUUUGCUAGCUUCCAUCCACAGCUCCAAUGGCUGAGCCAAAGUCUGAUCACAUGUAAGAGGCUCUGAAAAUCUCACCAAACACUUUCCAACAACCCUGUAAGGUAAGUUUUUUUUUUGGUCCCAUUUCUAGAGAAGACAAAUGAAGCCCAAAGAAAAACUUGCCCAAGCCACAUUGGCUAAUUGAUGCUCAAGACAUUAGAACCUAAGUUUGUCUGAUUCUUUUCAUGUGCCAUAUACAGUUACCAUGACUGUGGUUGGGCUGAGAGCCACACUUCUGAUUGGUUUAGGUUGAAUUGGGUAGGUAGAGAAGGAAGUGUGGAGGUAGAAAAGACUGUUUAGAUCCUUAGCUUUGAGGUCCCACCCACAUAUCAGUCUGGAGGGAUGUGUCACCCUCUUACAUUCCACUAAAAUAGUUGUGGAAAUAUCACUGAGUACUUUCUUGUAGAAAAACUUCUUGGGGCAGUUUUUUUUUAAUAUUUAUUUUUUAGUUGGACACAAUAGUUUAUUUUGUUUAUUUUUAUGUGGUGCUGAGGAUUGAACCCAGGGCCUCAAACGUGCUAGGCAAGCGUUCUACCGCUGAGCCACAACCCCAGCCCUCUUGGGGCAGUUUUUCAUUCCUGGUAAUCUUUAGAUGUUUGCCACUAUUGAUGCCAGUAUUUAAUACAGAACAGUUACUUUCUCAUAGAUCAACUGCCACUGCUGGGAAGGGCAAGAAUUUGACACUGGUAAUUUGGCAUUUUUAGCAACAGGAUCUUGGUUUUGCCAAGGGGAUGCUCCAAGAGGUUCCAGGCCUGACUCUGCUCCUGGAAGCUUUCUUUCUUCCCUGGUAGCUCUGCGUUCAAGAUCUCAGUGCCAUAUGGUGAUCUCUACUGCCUUUUUUUGCUCUGUUGAUGUGGCUCACCUCUUAUCCAGAGGGAUAUAUAAAGCAGGGAGGUAAAAGGACCAAGCAGGAAAGUUUGAGGGCACAAGAGUGUGAUAUAGGACAUAACCCCUAACUGCAAGUAACUUAUUGUAUGACCUUUAGCAAGUCUCUUCCCCAAGAUAUCCCAGUUCUGUUAAAGCAAUUGCUAAUAGUUCUUGCUCUAAUUCUGGUAGCAGAGCCACGGUUUGAACAUUAUACACACACACACACACACACACACACUAAGGACUUUACAUGCAUUAUCUUAGGCCGUUCUUAAAGUUACUUUAUGAGGUAGGUACUAUACAUAUACAUACUUUGUGACUGUGGAAAAUAAGAGCUCAGAUAGGAAAAAUAAUGUAUCCAUGAUUGUUGAGCUAGUUAACAUUAGAGAGGAUUUGAGCCCAUUUUUUGUUACUUUAAAAACUUUAAUUUCCAAUCUUAGAAUAACUAAUUCAUACUUAACAUAACAACUUUUACCAAUAGAAACAUUUUUCCUCACAUUACUUGUGUUUGUAACCAUUUUUAACCUCAAAGUCUGUGUGCAUAAGCAAAACACUGUGAGAAUACAGCUUGGGAGUAUUGGGAAGAAGUGGGAGCAAGGACACUGACUAGGGGACCUGAUCUUUUCCUCUAGUCAAGAAGGCAGAAUGAUGACCAAAUUGUCUCCUUUCUGCUGUGUAGAGGAGCUCACUAAAGCUGGGGACACAUAGAAAUGUCAGAUCUAUAGUACUUAGACCAGAGGAUCUCCCAGCUAAGCACUCAGGAUCUCUUUUCUCGUUAGGAGUCUUCUACCUGUUUUGCUCACUUCUCUAUUCUGAUGUUGCAGCUGUUCCCUGAAGAGGGACCUCUGCAGUUUUCCUGAGGCUAAAGAUGUGACUUCACUAGUGCUUUCUCUCUCUUUCCUUCCAGGGCCACAUCCUCCAGGAAGAUCUCUGUCACGUGGAAGCCCCUGGCCUGGCCUCCCGCAGUGCCACGCUCCGUGUAUUUGACAAGCUGAGUUGGACACUCCGUGUGGUAGAGUGUCAGUUUGUCAAAUACCCCAAGUGUGGCACAUGCUUAGCAGCUCCACACCAGGGCAGAUGGAAUACAACAUAUUUGCUGCCAAGUGGAUGUAAGAAUGCUCAUUAAACAACAAGGUCUCCUAAUUUAUUUUUUUGUAACUUUGAGGGAACCCAAGCAAUGCAUCUGAGGGUUUCAGGGGGAAAGUGCAGCAUCUCUGGUAAUUACAGCCCUGGUUUUCGUCUACACACCUCAUGAGAAUGCCUAGGAGCACACAAUAGUCUUGAAAAGACAUAAGGGAUACAGGGAUAGAUGUGCUCUUUGAUUUGUUAUUCUCUUCUUUCUUCACAUUCCCCUUCCAGAGUGUCACAGUCAGGACACCAGAAUCAAAUACUACAGGUUAUAUGAGAAAGCUGGGCAUGGAAAUCCACUCUUUUUAUGUUCAUUCUUGUCUUCUAAACACAGACUGGCUUUUCUACCUCUUCCUUUUUUCCUCAAACCUCUUCUUGAAACAACUUCUCCAUUUCUCUUGGCCUAAUUCUUUCCCAUACUUCCUGGCCCCACCACAGUAUAGUCUCCCCAGGGACUUUUGAAAGUCAUCCCAUGCUUACCCUUCUUCGCUUGCACAGCACUCCUUGCCUGAGUCCUGUUAUAUGCCCCAAUAUCUCAUUCCACCCAAUAUAAUCUUUUGGAUCAUGAGUAAACUUUUCCAAGGCUUACUCUUGAAUUCCCCACUAUAUUUUGAGCUUCUAGAAGACAAGAAUAUAUCUCCUUGGUUGUUGUCUCCCCUACCAUAACCCCAUAUUUUGGUUACGGAAAAUAUUCAAUAAAUGUUUGCUGAUUGAUUGACUUUUUACUUAGUUGAUUAGUUUUGGAUAUUUGUGCCAAGUGUCACCCAGGGUUCUAUGAAAAAAACAAACAAACUAUGGAAACCACAAUUUUAUACAGUAUAUGAGGGAAUAGCCAACAUGGAGAGCUUUUUCUUCCUGAGAAAUGAAGCCAAAGACUGGAGGAAGGGGGAAAACAAAAGGGCAAAUAAAUUGUAGAAUUACUUGAAUAUACAGAUAUGUGGUACUUUAUUGAAGGAUUUUUAAGAGUCCUUAAUAUUCUAAUUUUGCUUUGGGAAUCUCCAAGACAGAGAUAUGGAAUGAGGGCUGGGGAUAUAGCUCAGUUGGUAGAGUGCUUGCCUUGCAUGCAUAAGGCCCUGGGUUCAAUUCCCAGCACCGAGAGAGAGAGAGAGAGAGAGAGAGAGAGAGAGAGAGAGAGAAUGAAGCCUUCCCUAUGCCUACCUAUCCACUGAAAUUUUCUUGUUUAUUUUUUUUUUUUGGUGGUCUUGGGGAUUAAACCUAGGGUUUCAUAUAUACUAGGCAAACAUAGGCAAAUAUCCUGCUACUGAGCUACAUCCCCAGUCUUCUUCUUCUUCUUCUUCUUAUUAUUAUUAUUAUUAUUAUCAUUAUCAUUAUUUUAAAUAUUGAGACAAGAUCUCACUGAGUUGCUGAGAUUGGCCUAGAACUUGUGAUCCUCCUGCCUCAGCCCCCCAAGUAGCUGGGGUUACAGGUAUUUGCCACCAAACCCAGUUGUCCAGGGGAACUUUUAUUCCCCAUGGGAUAUCUCAUGAUAUUCCAUGAUAUUCUCCUGAUACUUCAUGUAACAAAAAUUGAGGGGGCUGGGGUUAUGGCUCAGUGUUAGUGUGCUUGCCUAGCAUACAUGAGGCACUGGGUUUGAUUCUCAGCACCACAUACAAAUAUAAAAUAAAGGUCCAUAAACAACUAAAAAAAAAUUUAAAAAUUGAGAAACUUCCCUAGACAAACUUCAUACCUUCCUUCCCUUCUAGAGAGCCUUCUUUUCACUCUUCUACUUUCCCUGACCAGACAGCUACCUAAGAUAGAUCCCAUAUUGUAAUACCUAGGAAUCACUUACUGGCUUGUCAUAUAUGGAAAAAGUUUUUAGUAUGGGGGCAAAUAUGAACUCCAGAAGGUGCCUGCUGCAAUAAAUAUAUACUUCUAGAAAUUUACCUGCCUAACUUGUGGUC